This 253-nucleotide ribosomal RNA is filed under the name uncultured bacterium. RNAcentral describes it as "partial 16S ribosomal RNA". It matches the Rfam family "Bacterial small subunit ribosomal RNA", at positions 524 to 776 of the family's 1533-position model. The record is from RNAcentral.
UACGUAGGGUGCGAGCGUUAAUCGGAAUUACUGGGCGUAAAGCGCACGCAGGCGGUCUGUUAAGUCAGAUGUGAAAUCCCCGGGCUUAACCUGGGAACUGCAUUUGAAACUGGCAGGCUUGAGUCUUGUAGAGGGGGGUAGAAUUCCAGGUGUAGCGGUGAAAUGCGUAGAGAUCUGGAGGAAUACCGGUGGCGAAGGCGGCCCCCUGGACAAAGACUGACGCUCAGGUGCGAAAGCGUGGGGAGCAAACAGG